CUCACCCGAGGCCGCUGCUGUGCCGGCCACGUCCCCAGGAGGGAGCCCCAGCCACGAGGAGGAGGAGGAGGAGGAGGGCGAGCGGGUGGGGGGGAGCCCCCGGAUCUGGCCCCGUCUCGGUCUCCUGGAGGAGGCGGAGGGGCUUACUCGGAAGCAAGCCCGACUCACGGGCUCCUCCCUGCCUAGAACGGGGCUUGCAGCCCCCUCGUCGGGCAUUCGGUUUCCAGAGGGAGGGAGCCGUCAGUCGGACUCCCUUGCCGAGAGAGCUCACGGGCGGGCGGGCGGGCGGGCAGGGCGAGAAGGUUGCCCUGCUCUUUGUGUGUGUGUGUCCCCCACCUUCAGGGGUAGACUGCCUUUGCACGUGGAGGCUCCCUCCGACUAGCGGGGCUCCUCCUCAGAACAAGCUGCCAGCGGGGCGCGGGAUGGAAGCAAGACGGACCCUCGUGCGGAGCGCAGGGCGGAGGAGCGCUCUUGGGAGUGCAAAGCGCUUCCCGCGUCUCAUCUUCUCACCCCAAGCCAGGGACCCUGGAAGGGAAGACCUGGUCUGCGGAGGUAGACUGCCUGUGUGCAUGGAGGCUCCACGGCACCGCUCGAUGAGACCAACGGGGUCUCCUCGCCCAGCAUCCACUUUCCAAAGGCAGCCAGUCAGAUGCCUUUGAGAGCUGUCGCUGGAAGCUCAGAAGUGCCUUUGACAGUGAGCUGGCCUCCUUCACUGCUGCCAUGUUCUCCUGUGAUGCGCCCACUGGCUGCACCUGAACCUGUACCUGGGACUGACCGGCUAAAACCUAAGAUGGCGACUAGGCCUGCUCAGGAUUCAGGAAGCAAGAGAUGCCUUGGUGUGGGGAAUUCUCACUGAAUUCUGGGAAAUGACUCCCCAAAGGGAUGUGUGUGUUGCUUGUGUCUGGUGAAAUGUGUGCCCUUUUAUGAUGCUUCUGUCCUGCAAACAAGUGCCUUGAGCUGGUAAGACAGAUGGGUUGCAUGGCCUCUUCCCCCACAUUGAAUUACUGAGGAGACCAGAGACUGCCGGUUGAGCUGGCCUGGUUUUGCAUCCGAAGGACAUAUUCUCCCUGGAACAAGAGACGCUUGUGGGAACAAGCAGGAAACAUCCCUGCUGUUGAUAAGAACCAACUAACAAAACAUUCAGGAUGUGAAAGCAUUUGAUCGACGCCUUUAUGGUCCGAUGCACUGCCUCUUUUAUUUUAUUUAUUUACUUAUUUAUUUGAUUUAUAUUUUGCAGCGUUCAGGAGAUUUGAUUGAUUGAUAUCUCUGUAAACCGCUUUGGGACAAGCUGUAUAUAAAAAUUUGUCGCAUUCAAAUCCAUAUUUGUCCUAUUGAGAUAGGCAAAUGCUAGAGAUCAAAGGUUUUAAAACUAGCUAAGAAGACCAGCUGCGAGGAGGCGGGGGGGGGGCGCCUUGGGGCUCCGGGCCUCGCGCCUGACUUGCUGGCGGCCUUGCUUGCCUGCCAGCCCGAUCCAGCAGCAGACCGAGUCCUUGUCUCUGCCGGGAGAACAUGUCUGUCCGACCCGUUCCGGACCUGCGCUCUCCGAGCCCCACCUGAAUCGGAGGCCGACGCUUCCAUCGAGCGAACCCCAACCGGGAACAUCACCUCGCUACGGCCAGCCUUCGCCCAGCCACACGCAUCCCCUCUCUUUGCAAUGCUUUGAUGGGCCGCAGUGGACGCUUUCGCACACAGUCUGUGUUUCCUGCGGUGCCUGCUUCCGCCAGGAAUGGCUGUAGCUGACUCGGGAACUUGAGAGCCCCCGGAGGGCCGUGUGCCUGAUCCCCUGGACUCUGGUCUCGCUCCAGGGCCUGCACAGUCUGCAGGGUGACACCCUCUCCUUUGAAGGCAGCUGGGAAACUACACUGGGUGCAGAAUGAGGCUGCCAGGAGGCUGCUAGGACAGCAUGUACAUCUGGCCCCCGUCCGGCAGCCGUUCCCCUUUCCUUUCUGAUUGGCAUGUGUGUCAUACAGGAAGCUGCCUUCUACGGAGUCAGACCCUUGGUCCAUCUCGCUCGGGAUUGUCUGCUCUGACUGGCAGCAGCUCUUCAGGGUUUCAGGCAGGAGUGGUUGCCCCCACCUGCCCGCCCCUCCCUUACAGGAGCUGUCUCCAGCCUGGGACCACCCCCGGAUACCAAGCAGGGACUCGGCUGCUCAGCUAUGGCGCGCUUCCCAGCUCCAGUUAGUGCGGACGGACCAGCCCUUGAAGCCAUGAAUGGCCCUGAGCCCGGCUACCUUCAGGGCCACCUGGGCCCGUAGGGACCUGUUGGGGUCCCCUGAGCUCAGCUUCCCGGGCUCUGCUCUCUGACCCCGUACUAACCCGCGUCCGAGGGGUGGCUCUGGGGGACAGAGACUCUUCCGUGAUGGCUCCCCACUAGUGGAGCUCUUUCCCUAGGAGCAGCUUGCCACGAAGCCCCGCUCUCUUCCCAGUUUUAGUGGUGCGCUGAAAACCUUUCUGUCCCAUCAGGCAUUUAGCGACCGGUUCUGCUGUCACUGCCUUUGAUCCGUUCAGACUGGGAUGGAUGUUUCACUAAUCGGUUUUGAUUUUUUUUUUAAACUGAUGAUUGUACAUUUUACUCAGAUUCAUCUCUGUAAGCCACUGCCUUGGGAAAAUUAUAUUUCUAAGGCUGGAUACAGAUGCCUAAAAUAAAGUCAGUGGUCCUCCCCAGCAGCAGGUACAUUGCCUUUGAACAUGGAGGUUCCAUCUGACACUCACUAUCUGCCUCUAAUAGCCAGUAAUCUGUGGAUUGUUUUUAAACAUCCCCAUCAGCACCACACCUAAUGGCAGCGCAUUCCCUCCAGGAGCUCCUCAAACCUCUUCAUCCCAACACACACACACACACACACACACACACGUGCUAGGGAUGUGCCCCUUCUGCUGCACUCGGAGACCCGGCCUCGGCGGCACCAAAGUCCACCUUGAGAGGCCUGGGCUGUUUCAGCAGAACGCCCUGGCCUGUCCUGGCCGAAAGAGGCCUUGGGUGGCUGGGUCCAGUCGCUCCGCUCUGAGCAUGUGAUCCUGGAGGAGCUGCUGUGGCUGCCUUGACCCCCUAAUCUCCGAAGGCUCUGAUGUCACCACCGGCCAGAGAGAGAGCAGCGGCCCUCCCUCGCUCACUCUUCUCCUGGGGGGGCAGGGAGAGGGGCAGAGGAGGAGAGGCGGGCACCUUGGGGAGCCUAGUCCGCUGCGCAGUUGCUGCAGCCUCCUCUGCAGUGAGUGAGGGGAUUCCCAUGGCAGGAGCAGGACUCUGGAAUGGCUAUCCGCUCCUCAGUUUCCAACACAGCUUUUAGAAAAAAUGUAAAGGCUUGGCUUUUUGCCCAGGCAUUUCUUUGGUUCUCUGCUGCUGCUCUGUAUAACCUUUAUGGCUUUUAUGCUGUUUGUUUUAAAUUUUUUAAUCAGAUUUGUUUGAUAUCCCCGCCCACACACUUAAUAUUUUAAUUGUGUCUUUUUUACCAUCUUGUGUUAAAAAUUUUUUGCUGUAAACUGCCUUGGGAUUGCUUUAAUGAAAGGCGGUAUAUAAAUGUAACAAUAAGUAAAUAAAAUAAACAAACCACCCCCUGAGAAA
Hemicordylus capensis (graceful crag lizard) is the source of this 3559-nucleotide long non-coding RNA. RefSeq lists it as uncharacterized. The record is from RefSeq and is a predicted model, not a curated record. The transcript has 2 exons. Lineage: Eukaryota; Metazoa; Chordata; Lepidosauria; Squamata; Cordylidae.